This is a non-coding RNA of Mycena vulgaris, 93 nucleotides long. The record is from the annotation of a GenBank genome assembly. NCBI's taxonomy places the organism in Eukaryota, Fungi, Basidiomycota, Agaricomycetes, Agaricales, Mycenaceae.
UCAGACAUGGUGUAGCGGGAACACAGCCUCUUCAAGUAAAUCGGUAAUUUUCGUUUGCAGAGGCAACCCAGGGUUCGAAUCUCUGUGUUUGAA